Molecule: ribosomal RNA, 680 nt
Filed under: Leucoagaricus sp. 3592(7)
Lineage: Eukaryota; Fungi; Basidiomycota; Agaricomycetes; Agaricales; Agaricaceae
Description: eukaryotic LSU rRNA
Rfam family: 5.8S ribosomal RNA (bases 265-418)
Source: RNAcentral
AGCUGGCCUCUUGGGGCAUGUGCACGGCCUGUCUUGAUUCUAUUCAUCCACCUGUGCACCUUUUGUAGUCUUUUUGGGGGCUGACCAGUGGCUGACUCGGUCGAAAGACUGGAUGUAUGAGGAUUGACUGACUGACCUCUUGGUUGGCCUCUGCCUCUGAGUCGCGAAACCUCCCUCGAGGGGACUAUGUCUUUUAUCAAAAACCAUGUAGUAUGUUGCCAGAAUGUAGUCAAUGGGCCUUCGUGUCUAUAUACAACCUUAUACAACUUUCAGCAACGGAUCUCUUGGCUCUCGCAUCGAUGAAGAACGCAGCGAAAUGCGAUAAGUAAUGUGAAUUGCAGAAUUCAGUGAAUCAUCGAAUCUUUGAACGCACCUUGCGCUCCUUGGUAUUCCGAGGAGCAUGCCUGUUUGAGUGUCAGUAAAUUCUCAACCCCACCAGCUUUGGGGAUUGGAUGUUGGAGGUGUUGCAGGCCUUUCUCUUAGGUCUGCUCCUCUGAAAUGCAUUAGCGGAACCGUUUGCGAUCCAUCACAGGUGUGAUAAUUAUCUACGCCCAGUGGGUCGCUCUCUGUCUUGUUCAGCUUCCAACCGUCCCGUUCUUGUGGACAAACUAUAACUGAACAUUUGACCUCAAAUCAGGUAGGACUAUCCGCUGAACUUAAGCAUAUCAAUAAGCGGAGGA